AUCCCUUCGGAGACAUCCGAUAAAAUUAAAACAAUACAUAAAAGAUUAGCAUGACCUAUGCGCAAAAAAAACACCUAGAAAUCGAGAAAUAGUCCAAAUUUUC
This is a small nuclear RNA of Raphanus sativus (radish), 103 nucleotides long. The record is from RefSeq and is a predicted model, not a curated record. Lineage: Eukaryota; Viridiplantae; Streptophyta; Magnoliopsida; Brassicales; Brassicaceae.